RNAcentral lists this long non-coding RNA (327 nucleotides) under Cucumis sativus (cucumber). RNAcentral's name for it is "long non-coding RNA (CSAT_LNC000676)". Lineage: Eukaryota; Viridiplantae; Streptophyta; Magnoliopsida; Cucurbitales; Cucurbitaceae. The record is from RNAcentral.
CUUUGGAUGCUGCGGUUUUUCUUCGAGAACCAUUGAGGAUUCAUGAAGCGAUGCGGUACUCUUUAAUGGCUGGUGGGAAGCGUGUUCGCCCUGUUCUUUGUAUUGCUGCGUGUGAACUCGUUGGUGGGAAUGAAUCCAUGGCGAUGCCGGCGGCUUGCGCGGUUGAGAUGAUUCACACAAUGUCUUUGAUCCAUGACGAUCUUCCUUGUAUGGAUAACGACGAUUUGCGCCGAGGAAAACCCACCAAUCACAAGGUAUUCGGCGAGGAUGUUGCUGUUCUCGCAGGUGAUGCGCUUUUAGCAUUCGCUUUUGAGCAUAUCGCUGUAU